Piliocolobus tephrosceles (Ugandan red Colobus) is the source of this 1881-nucleotide long non-coding RNA. Lineage: Eukaryota; Metazoa; Chordata; Mammalia; Primates; Cercopithecidae. The record is from Ensembl.
GUGGUAAUAGUGGUGAUAAUAGUGGUGAUAUGGCUAUUGAUAUGACUGUUGAUAUGGCUGUUGAUAAUACUGGUGAUAAUAAUGGUGAUAGUAAUAUGAUAACUACCAGUUUUGGAAAAGACCAAGCUAAGCAACAAACAAAUAUAAAAUCAAAUGUACAACCUGUAGGAAGUAUGCAAAACGAAAAAACGAAAGACAUUAUAACAUUAAUCGAAAAACGGUAUAUUGAUUAUGAAAAUUUAAAAAAAGGGGAUGUAUUUUUUUGUAGAUUUGAUAAUGUGAAAAAAAGAAAUAUUCGUAAUAUUUUUAACUUGUCAAACAAUAUUAUUAAUAAAAUUUUUAACACAUAUUUUUAUAAUGAUAAGGAUUUAGCUAUUUGGGAUCAAGAGGAAUUCGUUCACAGUGGCAGUGGCAGUGCCAGUAGUAACAGUAGCAGUGGUACUGAGUCAAAAAAACAAAUUCCUAAAACCAAAACUCUUAAACAACUAAAAUUCGAAGAAAUUUUUUUUGAUAAGCGUAAUAUAUAUAUAAUGAGAGGUGAAUUGCAUGAAGGAACUGAAUAUUAUUUUAAUAAAAAUAAAAUUGACAAAAAUUAUAAAAUGUUAAAACAAACAUGUGAUAAUUAUUAUUCAGGUAUUAAUCAAGCUUAUAGUAGUUAUUCGAAUAUACGUGAAGAAUAUAUAUUAAGAUAUUUAGGUAAAGAAAAUUAUAAAAUAUAUAGAAAAAUUAUAAGUGAUUAUUUUUCAUGUAAUGAAUAUUCAUAUAAAGAAUUUAUUCAAACAGAUUGUAAUGAAUUAGUAAAAUCGUCAAUAAUUGAUUUGGCAUAUAAUAAUCCAAAUAAUUUAACAAUAAAUAUAAUUAAAAAUUAUAAAAAAGAUUUAUUUGAAAAAAUAACAAAACUUAAUAUAAACGAAUUAAAUUAUUUGUUAAAAGAUUUGAUUAAAUUAAAAAAUAGUUUAAGUGUAUAUCCAUUAACAUAUGAAACCAGUAUAGGUAAAAUGAAUUUAAUAUUAAAUAAUCAAAAACCAAUAAAAAAAAAUUAUAUUUUAAAUUUAAACAUAGAUAACACUAUAAAACAAGAAUUAUUAAAAUACGUUCAUAAUUUUAUUUAUCCUAUUGAUUAUAUAAAAGAAAUUAUAUUAAAAAAAAAACAAAAAGAAAUUCAAAAAAAUAACCAAAUGGAAACUAUAUAUUUGUUAGCAGAAGAAACUAUAAAUAUAUAUGAAAACUCGGCAAAAAAUGUUGAACCUUUUAAUAAUAAUCAAUUAGAAUUAUUAAAAUCAUAUGUAAUGAAAAAAAAAAGAGGAGGUAUGUACAAAAAUGCGAAUCAAAAUGAAAGUGAAAAUUUCAAAGAUGUCUUAUUUGAUGCGGAGAACAGUCAAAUUAGGAAAAUUCUACAUAUCAUUAAAGAGGACCUAGAAAAACAAAAAAAAAAAAGAAAAAUCGAUGAAGUAGACCGAGAGUAUGAUGAAGAGCAGAGUAGUUACAAAGAUGCAACAGAUCUGUACAAAACUUUUCCAGAGCUAGAAGAAAUGGAUAAACUGACUGAAGAUGCGUUUGAUAUGAAGCUUCCUUUUGUCGAAUGAGUGUUAUUUAAUUGUGUAGUUGUCGGAUUUUUUUAUUUUUUAUUUUUUAUACAUUAAAAAAAAAUAUAUAUAAUUAAUAAUAUGCAAACUCAUACGUGCAUACGUAUAAAUAUAUAUAUAUAUAUAUAUGUGUUUAUAUAUAACAUAAACAACUGAUUGUAAAUUGUCUAUAUACAUAUAUGCAAUCGCUCCAAAUGAAUAUAACAAAAAAAAAAAAAAAAAAAAAAAAAAAAAAAAAUUAUAAGUCAAAAUAUUGUAGAACUAAAUAAACAAAAAAGUUAAUAAAAGUGAACCA